RNAcentral lists this ribosomal RNA (264 nucleotides) under uncultured bacterium. Its description in RNAcentral is "partial 16S ribosomal RNA". It matches the Rfam family "Bacterial small subunit ribosomal RNA", at positions 91 to 353 of the family's 1533-position model. The record is from RNAcentral.
CUUAGUGGCGGACGGGUGAGUAACGCGUGGGUAACCUGCCUCACACUGGGGGAUAACAGUUAGAAAUAGCUGCUAAUACCGCAUAAGCACACGGUUCCGCAUGGAACAGUGUGAAAAACUCCGGUGGUGUGAGAUGGACCCGCGUCUGAUUAGCCAGUUGGCGGGGUAACGGCCCACCAAAGCGACGAUCAGUAGUCGGCCUGAGAGGGUGAACGGCCACAUUGGGACUGAGACACGGCCCAAACUCCUACGGGAGGCAGCAUG